Molecule: ribosomal RNA, 492 nt
Filed under: uncultured bacterium
Lineage: Bacteria
Description: bacterial SSU rRNA
Rfam family: Bacterial small subunit ribosomal RNA
Source: RNAcentral
UCGACGACGUAGUUGAUCGACGUGGCCUCAGACGACGCUGGCGGCGUGCUUAACACAUGCAAGUCGAGCGAUGAAGCUUCUUCAGAAGUGGAUUAGCGGCGGACGGGUGAGUAACACGUGGGUAACCUGCCUCAUAGAGGGGAAUAGCCUUUCGAAAGGAAGAUUAAUACCGCAUAAGAUUGUAGUAUCGCAUGGUCAUUAUAGCAAAGAUUUAUCGACAUGAGAUGGACCCGCGUUGGAUUAGCUAGUUGGUGAGAUAACAGCCCACCAAGGCGACGAUCCAUAGCCGGCCUGAGAGGGUGAACGGCCACAUUGGGACUGAGACACGGCCCAGACUCCUACGGGAGGCAGCAGUGGGGGAUAUUGCACAAUGGGGGAAACCCUGAUGCAGCAACGCCGCGUGAAGGAAGAAGGUCUUCGGAUUGUAAACUUCUGUUUUUAGUGAAGAAACAAAUGACGGUAGCUAAAGAGGAAGCCACGGCUAACUACGUG